AGUGAACGCUGGCGGGAGGAUGAACACAUGCAAGUCGAACGGCAGCACAGUAAUAGCUUUCCUUUACUGGUGGCGAGUGGCGUACGGGUUAGGUAUCCAUCGCUUUCUUCUUUUUUGUGUGGGGUAACGUAGGGCUACUUACGCUAAUACCUCAUACGACCUACGGGUGAAAUCAGGAGAUCUGCGGAUCUUGCGCGAUUUAAUGAGUCGAUGUCGGAUUAGUUAGUUGGCGGGGUAAAGGCGCACCAAGGCGACGCUCCGUAGCUAGGCUGAGAGGAUGAUCAGCCACACUGAAACUGAGACACGGUCCAGACUCCUAGGGGCGGCAGCAGUGGGGAAUAUUGGAAGAUGGGGGGAAGCCUGAACCAGGCGUACCGCGUGGAUGAAGAAGGGCUUCGGGUUGUAAGGCGCUUUUGUUGGGGAAGAAAAGCAGCAGGAUAAUACACCGCUGUGCUGACGGUACCCAAAGAAUAAGCACCGGCUAACUUCGUG
RNAcentral lists this ribosomal RNA (492 nucleotides) under uncultured bacterium. Its description in RNAcentral is "partial 16S ribosomal RNA". It matches the Rfam family "Bacterial small subunit ribosomal RNA", at positions 29 to 507 of the family's 1533-position model. The record is from RNAcentral.